UACGAGGGGAGCAAGCGUUAUUCGGAAUUACUGGGCGUAAAGGGCGCGUAGGCGGUUUAUUAAGUCAGUUGUUAAAGGCCAUGGCUUACCCAUGGAAAAGCAGUUGAUACUGGUAGACUAAGAGGACAAGAGAGAGAAGUGGAAUUCUCGGAGUAGCGGUAAAAUGCGUAGAUCUCGAGAGGAACACCGAUGGCGAAGGCAGCUUCUUGGCUUGUACCUGACGCUGAGGCGCGAAAGCGUGGGGAGCAAACAGGAUUAGAUACCCGCGUA
This 270-nucleotide ribosomal RNA is filed under the name uncultured prokaryote. RNAcentral's name for it is "partial 16S ribosomal RNA". It matches the Rfam family "Bacterial small subunit ribosomal RNA", at positions 524 to 792 of the family's 1533-position model. The record is from RNAcentral.